GAUGAACGCUGGCGGCGUGCCUAAUACAUGCAAGUCGAGCGAACAGAUGAGGAGCUUGCUCCUCUGACGUUAGCGGCGGACGGGUGAGUAACACGUGGAUAACCCACCUAUAAGACUGGGAUAACUUCGGGAAACCGGAGCUAAUACCGGAUAAUAUAUUGAACCGCAUGGUUCAAUAGUGAAAGACGGUUUUGCUGUCACUUAUAGAUGGAUCCGCGCCGCAUUAGCUAGUUGGUAAGGUAACGGCUUACCAAGGCGACGAUGCGUAGCCGACCUGAGAGGGUGAUCGGCCACACUGGAACUGAGACACGGUCCAGACUCCUACGGGAGGCAGCAGUAGGGAAUCUUCCGCAAUGGGCGAAAGCCUGACGGAGCAACGCCGCGUGAGUGAUGAAGGUCUUCGGAUCGUAAAACUCUGUUAUUAGGGAAGAACAAAUGUGUAAGUAACUAUGCACGUCUUGACGGUACCUAAUCAGAAAGCCACGGCUAACUACGUG
RNAcentral lists this ribosomal RNA (497 nucleotides) under uncultured bacterium. Its description in RNAcentral is "partial 16S ribosomal RNA". It matches the Rfam family "Bacterial small subunit ribosomal RNA", at positions 28 to 507 of the family's 1533-position model. The record is from RNAcentral.